This 608-nucleotide ribosomal RNA is filed under the name bacterium. RNAcentral's name for it is "bacterial SSU rRNA". The record is from RNAcentral.
CAGAUACUGACGCUCAGAUGCGAAAGCGUGGGGAGCAAACAGGAUUAGAUACCCUGGUAGUCCACGCUGUAAACGAUGUCUACUUGGAGGCUGUGACCUUUAAGCGCGGCUUCCGGAGCUAACGCGUUAAGUAGACCGCCUGGGGAGUACGGUCGCAAGAUUAAAACUCAAAUGAAUUGACGGGGGCCCGCACAAGCGGUGGAGCAUGUGGUUUAAUUCGAUGCAACGCGAAGAACCUUACCUACUCUUGACAUCCAAAGAAUCUUGCGGAGACGCUGGAGUGCCUUCGGGAGCUCUGAUACAGGUGCUGCAUGGCUGUCGUCAGCUCGUGUYGUGAAAUGUUGGGUUAAGUCCCGCAACGAGCGCAACCCUUAUCCUUGUUUGCCAGCACUUCAUGGGGGGAAUUCCAGGAAAACGGCCGGGGAUAAACCGAAGGAAGGGGGGGACGACUCCAAGUCAUCAGGGCCCUUACGAGAAGGGUUACACACGGGUUACAAUGGCCUAUACAAAGGGGAUCGAUCCCGCGAGGUGAACCAAAUCUCACAAAGUACGUCUAAUUCGGAAUUGAAGCCUGCAAUUCUCCUCCUUGAAUUCGAACCGUUAGAAAA